CACCCAGGCACCCUUGAAUGUUCAGCCAUUUAUUCUCAAAUGUUUCCAUUUGCUUCAGCUCUGUUGAUCUAGUUAAUCUUUAAUGCAUGUGAAAGUACAGCAAUGUUACAUCUUACUCCAGAAUUAGGUUCUAAAGUCAUUGUAAAAGGCAAAAAUUGCCCAGUCAAAAUUAAAAUUACCUCUGAAUAUCUCUCAAGUCAGCCUAUAAAUUAUUAUCGUUCAGUAAGGCCAAAACAGUCAGUUUUCCUCUAGCACUGUUCAGAUACCUGUCCAUUCAGCUGAAUAUAGAUGAAAUAGCCUAUCUGUUCAAGAAUGCCAGACUCACACUCAGGAGAGGGAGUUGUUCAUACUAUGAAACACAAUCAAGAAGUGAAAGAACAUCUUCCAACUCUGAGAAACACACAUUCACUUUCAGAAAGACAGGAAUGGCUGAAUGACUCCCCUAUACUCUUUAAACUUUAUUUCUCCCAAACAGGCUCCCUCCCUUCUCUAAGGGACAUUAAGCAUACAUACUCAGGAUCCCAGCGGUUUGGCGCCUGCCUUUGGCCCGGGGCGCGAUCCUGGGGACCCGGGAUUGAGUCCCAUGUCGGGCUCCCGGUGCAUGGAGCCUGCUUCUCCCUCUGCCUGUGUCUCUGCCUCUCUCUCUCUCUCUCUCUCUCUGUGUGACUAUCAUAAAUAAAGAAAAAAAUAUUUUAAAAAAAAGCAUACAUACUCAAAUUACAGAAGUUAAAGCAAGAGGCAAUGCAUGUGAGAUAAUGUUUGCAUUAAAAAUUCUAAAAGUGGUUCUGAUGCCAUGCAACUUCAAUGUUUAUGUCUUACAUUUUAACUGUAUAAUGCAGCACAAUCUUUUUUGAGUUUCCAUAUGCAAGCUGAUCAGAUGUUUUUGUGCUGAAUGUUCUAAAUUUUAAUGUUCCAUUUAGCUGGCAGAACUCAUAUUCUGUGGAACAACUCAGAAGUUCACCUGUUCCCCUUAACCCCUAUCAGGGAUUAUAGUGGGGAAUUAAGCCGUACGUAGUCUUAGGGAAAUUCCAGAGAAAUUCCUUUCCUAUCUGUAAAAGAGAGAGAACACCAGUGUGGAUAUGGGGUAAUUCAGACCAUGUUACCUAAUGAGUAUUCCCAUAUUCAAAAAGAUCAGACGUCGGUCAUUAAGGCAAUCAGCUGAUCAAAGCAUCUACAGAAAUGUGCGAAGCUGGGGUACAUGAGGGCAAUGAAUAAUUGUUUUGAUUUUUUUUUUAAAGUAUUCAACUAACUGCCAAAAAAGGGAAACAUGAUCUGUACUUCUGCAAUAGAGAGAAAUGAGGAUAAAAAUUAUUUGAAUUGGGAACCAGAGGCAAAAAUACACGUGCUUGGCAUUUGCAAUGGAUUCUACUAAAGCUCUAUGCUAACCAAAAUUUUUACAUGGCAAUAGUAUCCUUUUAAAAUACAACACUAAAAUGUUUACAAAUUAGAGUUGCUGUUUGGGUAAAAGACAGAAAAACAGGGAUCCCUGGGUGGCGCAGCGGUUUAGCGCCUGCCUUUGGCCCAGGGCGCGAUCCUGGAGACCCGGGAUCGAAUCCCACGUCGGGCUCCUGGUGCAUGGAGCCUGCUUCUCCCUCUGCCUAUGUCUCUGCCUCUCUCUCUCUCUCUGUGACUAUCAUAAAUAAAUAAAUAAAUAAUUUAAAAAAAAAAGACAGAAAAACAAAAUGAACUUAGAAGUGACUUUUUACAAGUUACUGUUUCUCUUUAAUAAAAGGAGUAAUGUCAGUAGAUGUAUUUAGUAGAAGGAGUAAAUUUCAGUAGAAUUAUUUUAUAAAUUAAUUUCUGGAGGAGAGGUACAGUGAGAAGAGCCUUUACAAAUGAGCCUCAAAAUUCAGCUCACCUUCAAUGAGAUGCCUUUUCAAUACUCUGAAAGAAUUCUUUAGGCUCAAAUAUCUUUGUUUUUAAAGCAAAAGAUAUUUGCUUUAAAAAUCUCUACUUUAAAUUCAGAUAAUAAUUAGAUAUUACAUAGUUGAAUAGAUACGUAGCGAUUCUGUUACGUAGAUAACAGAACAGUAAUACAAACCCAGUCAAGUUUUAUAAUAUUUUAGCAAUUAAUAAAUUAUUUUACGUAUUUUCAUUGGGAACUGUUUUGAAAAAAGGAAAAAAUAAUAUAAAGUCUAGAAGGUCUCCUCUCUGGUUAUUUUUCACUUAAUAAUUAGUGACUGAGUGCCCAGUAAGUGCCAGGCAAAGAUCUAGGUGCUUUGUUAUACAGUCUCAUGUAAUUCCUGGGGAAGACACACAUAUAUGACUAUAACUUAACAAGAAAAAAAGAUUUAAUAAAAUGUUUCAUUUUAAUUGAUUAUAACCAAGUAGUCUAUGCUCAGAAUUUACUUUAUGGCCCAUUUGCAACAACUUGUGAGUAUACGUUCACCUGAAACUUCUUGCUCCUCCUUUUGAAAUCUGCCUUUUAUUUAUCUAUUCAUCCAUUCAUUUAACUAUAAUUGCCCAACCAUGCACAUAACAGUUGGGAAGUAGAAUGAAAGAUGUACCUAUGUAAAUAGGCAAAGAGAGUUCCUGAAUUUAAAGAGGCAAGGUUUUUCCUCACUUUAAAAAGGUCAAGAAAUAACAAAACCAAUUAUAUGGUAGAUCUAAUGAAAGGUUUAAGCUGCUCAGAUAACAGAUAUGAAAGUGCUCUUUAAAACCGUAAAACGUUAUUCUACUAUAAUACAUAAUUACUAAACAAUUUGCUUGAUUACUCUAAUGACUUCAAUAAUUCAUGUUAUUAUUAUGAAUAUCAAGAGUCCCCUGCUAACCUGAAUUGGUAUAUUUGAGAACCAACUAAGGCCUGUAAUACUUUUUUUGUUAAGUUUAGUUGUAGCAUUUAAUUAAAGAUAUUCAAUAUUAUCAAUUCAGUCAAGCUUCAAGAAAUUAUAUCCUUUUAGGUUUUCUAGUCAUUUAUUAUGAUUUAGUAAAAAGAAAAUGGGACUUAAAGGGCUUAAGGAUGGGACACCUGGGUGGCUCAGCAGUUGAGCAUCUGCCUUUGGCUCAGGGUGUGAUACCGCAAUCCUGGGAUGGAGUCCCACAUCAGGCUCCCUGCAUGGAGCCUGCUUCUCCCUCUGCCUCUGUCUCUGCCUUUCUCUGUUUCUCAUGAAUAAAUAAAAUCUUAAAUAAAUAAAUAAAUAAAUAAAUAAAUAAAUAAAUAAAUAAAUAAAUAAAUAAAUGGUUUAGAGAUUUAGGUUUUGAGUGUUGGCUUUAUGCAACCUUCAGCAAUGUAAACUCCUUGAGAUUCAAUUUCCCCAUCUGUACAAUGAAAGUGAUACCUACCUGGAACAGAUGUUGUGAAGACUAAAUAAAUAAUAUGACAAUAUUCAGCAAAAUGUCUAUCACAUAUGAGAUCACAUUAUUUCCUUUUGCCUUCUUUCAAACAAAAUAUAAUAUAUAAUCAGUUACAUUAUCCUUUUUUACUGGACAAUAAAUCCUCUGUGGGGUUUUUCCUUUUAUGAAACCCUCCACUUUUAUGUAAAUUAACUGUAAUCUCCAUAUUUUCAUCAUCAUCUCCCUUUUUUGUGUGUGUUCCCAAAGUGACUGAAACAUUGGGUAAGCACUUUUACUAGACCAUAAUAAAUAGAUCCAAAGGGUAUUUUCAUUUACAAAUUUAUUUACAUAAAAGGAAAACAAGGAGUAGUAUCUGAAAUAGGACUUUCCCAGAAAAUGUGAGAUGGACAAAAGCCUGCACAGUACUGACCCUACCACAAAUUUUUAUUCUAUUUUAUUCUAUUAUUAAAGUAAUUAUUUGGGGAGCAUGGGUGGCUCAUUUGGUUAAGUAUCUGCCUUUGGCUCAGGUCAUGAUGCCAGGGGUCCUGGGAUCCAGCGGCAAGAUGGGCUCCCUGCUUGAGAACCUACUUCUCCCUCUCCUCCCCAAGUGCUCUCUCUUGCUAUCUCUCUCUCAAAUAAAUAAGAUCUUUUUAAUAAAUAAAUAUUCAAAUGUAUCAUUUUUCUUUGUCUAAUUCAGCAAAAUCAGAAACAAAAAAAAAAUGUAUCUUCGAGUAUAUUUUCAUUACCUUUCUAACAUUAUUCAAUGGUCAUACAAAAGAGCCAAAAGUCUUGCAGAAUCAAAGUAUACAUAACAAUCGUUUCUCCAAGUGAAAUUUCAAUUAUUUUAUUAUAGUGCAUUAGCAAUGGCAAUUAAACUUAGGCAUUUUGGGGGCACCUGGCUUGCUCAAUGGGUAGUGCAUGCAACUCCUGAUCUUGGGGUUGUGAUUUUGAGCCCCUGGUUGGCUGCAGAGCUUACUUUAAAAAAUAAAAUAUUUAGGGGCACCUGGGUGGCUCAGUGGUUGAAUGUCUGCUUUUGGCUCAGGUCCUGAUCCCAGGGUCCUCAGAUGGAGUUCCGCAUCUGCCUAUGUCUCUCUGCCUCUCUCUCUCUCUGUAUCUCUCAUGAAUAAAUAAAUAAAAUCUUUAAAAAUAAAUAAAAUCUUCUUUAAAAAAGGUUUUUUACCACAACGUUGGAGAGGAUGUGGAG
RNAcentral lists this long non-coding RNA (4477 nucleotides) under Canis lupus familiaris (dog). RNAcentral describes it as "lncRNA (ENSCAFG00000054285.1)". The record is from RNAcentral. Lineage: Eukaryota; Metazoa; Chordata; Mammalia; Carnivora; Canidae.